UACGUAGGUGGCAAGCGUUGUCCGGAAUCACUGGGCGUAAAGCGCGCGCAGGCGGCGAUCUACGUCUGGGGUGAAAGCCCGGAGCUCAACUCCGGGACUGCCUUGGAUACGGGAUCGCUUGAGGAUUGGAGAGGCAAGGGGAAUUCCCAGUGUAGCGGUGAAAUGCGUAGAUAUUGGGAAGAACACCAGCGGCGAAAGCGCGCUACUGGGCCAUUACUGACACUCAUGGGCGAAAGCUAGGGGAGCGAAAGGG
RNAcentral lists this ribosomal RNA (253 nucleotides) under uncultured bacterium. RNAcentral's name for it is "partial 16S ribosomal RNA". It matches the Rfam family "Bacterial small subunit ribosomal RNA", at positions 524 to 776 of the family's 1533-position model. The record is from RNAcentral.